Molecule: ribosomal RNA, 1208 nt
Filed under: Pomacea haustrum
Lineage: Eukaryota; Metazoa; Mollusca; Gastropoda; Architaenioglossa; Ampullariidae
Description: partial large subunit ribosomal RNA
Rfam family: Archaeal large subunit ribosomal RNA (bases 638-1208)
Source: RNAcentral
ACAGUUAUAGAUACUACAAUUGUGUACUAGAAAAUUAGUAAAACAUUUUAUUUUUAGUAAAGGAGAUUGAAAUCAUUAAUAUCAAAAAGUACUGCGAAGGAAAUAAUUAGAAAUUUUUACUAAGUAGUGUAGUUUACGUACCUUUUGCAUCAUGGCUUUACAAGAGAACAUGAAAUUAUGUAUUCAUAACUAGAAAUCUAAUGAGCUACUUUAGCUUCGAAUAAUAGUUUUACAAUAUGGAUGUAGCAAAAUCCUUUUUUAAAGUUAAAGUUGCAGUGAAAUUCUAUUCGCAUUAGGUGAUAGCUAGUUCUUUUAAAAAUGCAUAUAAGUGCAAGCAUUUACGAUUAAUUUUUUUAAUUAACUUAAAAAGAUUUUAAUAAAUGGAUUAUAUAUUUAAGGAUAAGCUUAGAUAUUAAGAUAAUAGUAAAUCAAAAAUUAUUUUUAGGCUUGAAAUCAGCUAAAGUCAAUAAAAUCGUUAUAGGUUAUUAGUUUAUUGCAUUGAUUUUAAUAAAUAUAUUUGUUGCAUAUAAAGGCAAGUAGCUAAAUUUUUAAGUUACUUUGUUUAUGUUAAGAUGAGUAUUUGUAUAAUCUAAAAAUACUUUCCAAUUUAAAAUUUUAAGUAUAAUAUAUAGUUUUAUAAAUAUUUGAAAUCAAUAAAAGGAACUCGGCAAAUAACUAACUUCGCCUGUUUAGCAAAAACAUGGCUCUUUGAUUAUUAAAUAUAAAGAGUUUGGCCUGCCCAGUGAGAUUUUAACGGCCGCGGUACUCUGACCGUGCAAAGGUAGCAUAAUCAUUUGCCUUAUAAUUGAAGGCUAGUAUGAAAGGUUUAACGAAAGUUAGGCUGUCUUUUUUUGAAUAAAAUGAAAUUAACCUAUAGGUGCAAAGGCCUAUAUUUAACUAAAAGACAAGAAGACCCUAUUGAGCUUUGUAAAGAUAUAGUAGAAUAAAAUAUAUAAGCAAAAUUUUAAUCUGCUUAAAUUUUUAGUUGGGGCGACUUAGGAAUAAAAAUAACUUCCUAGCAUUAAGAAUAUUUAUAGCUUUUUUAUCCUAAAAAUUUGGAUUGUCAGAAUUAGUUACCAUAGGGAUAACAGCAUAAUCUUUCUUAAGAGUUCUAAUCGGAAGAAAGGAUUGUGACCUCGAUGUUGGACUAGAAUAUCCUAAAGGUGCAGAAGUUUUUAAGGGUUAGUCUGUUCGACUAUUAAAAUUCU